This 27-nucleotide non-coding RNA is filed under the name Mus musculus (house mouse). The record is from RNAcentral. Lineage: Eukaryota; Metazoa; Chordata; Mammalia; Rodentia; Muridae.
UAAGAAUGUGUCCCAGCUGAUCCCUGC